GUCAUUUUGAGACAUCACACUAAUAAAAGUGCCUGCCCCUUGUCACUAGGGGUUAAAGUUUGAGUAGCAUAUAUCAAGAAGGAGCAUAUUGAUAACUCAGGUUCACAACUCCAAAAUGCCAUUCUGGAAAGGUUUUUCUAGAGACAACUCGGAGCUCCAGCCUAGAAGUGGUUCUUAUCUGCAAUUACCGUAAAAGCCAUAAAAAUCCUUGAUAUUGUUAUAUGGUUCCAACAAAAUUUUGAUGUCCAGGAAAGUCAACAGAGAAAUCUAGAUCAAAGUGGACAGAAGAAGCAACUUAGCUGCAUGAGCUUCAAAAGCAUAUGACCAGGGAUUCAUUUCUGACUGCAGUGUUAGGAAAAAUCUUGGGGAAAGGAAAAAGAUGGGACAGUGGAAUAGAAACCCUAGAGUAAAAUCCAUUGAUUGGCAUUUAGUAACCAUAUAGGUAGAAAAACCUGACUCAUCCCACCCAGAGAUAACAGUAGAUAUAGAAUUUAUUCUUAAACAAUUGUUUGUUUUGUAGUUGAACUGAAUUUUAGUUACCAGAUUGGGGGAGGGGAAGGGAGGGGAGCUAGAUCUUUAAGUCUUUAAAAGAGACCAGUCAGCUUGGCACCAUCUGAAGCAAGUUGACAGUUCCAUCAGCUUGUAUCUUUCUCUUUUUAUUUCAAUAAUUUGUGUUCAAUGGUCAUUUUAAGUGUAUUAAUUCAAACAGUGUUGAAAAUAAUUUAAAUUCCAUGACAUUUUAAAGUUUUUAUUUGCAUGGGUGUUUAAAUAGUUCCAUUUUAAAUAUUGUCCCUGCAC
RNAcentral lists this long non-coding RNA (798 nucleotides) under Bos taurus (domestic cattle). Its description in RNAcentral is "long non-coding RNA NONBTAT023599". The record is from RNAcentral. Lineage: Eukaryota; Metazoa; Chordata; Mammalia; Artiodactyla; Bovidae.